GACGAACGCUGGCGGCGUGCUUAACACAUGCAAGUCGAACGGAGAGGCCCUGCUCUUGUGGGGUGCUCGAGUGGCGAACGGGUGAGUAACACGUGAGUAACAUGCCCUUGACUUUGGGAUAACAUCAGGAAACUGGGGAUAAUACAGGAUAGAAGAUCCUGCUGCAUGGUGGGGGUUGGAGAGAUUCGGCGGUUGUGGACGGACACGCGGCUAAUCAGCUUGUUGGUGGGGUAGUGGCGUACCAGGGCUUUGACGGGUAGCCGCCCUGAGAGGGUGACCGGCCACAGUGGGACUGGGGUACCGCCCGUACUGCUACGGGAGGCAUCAGUGGGACACAGUGCGAGCUGGGCGGAAUCCGUAUGCAGCAACUCCGCGUGCUGGAUGACGGUCUUCGGUCUGUAACCCGCGUGCGCCUGGGACGAAGAGUGAGUGACGGUAAUGUGUAAAGAAGCACCGGCUAACUACGUG
RNAcentral lists this ribosomal RNA (468 nucleotides) under uncultured bacterium. RNAcentral's name for it is "partial 16S ribosomal RNA". It matches the Rfam family "Bacterial small subunit ribosomal RNA", at positions 28 to 507 of the family's 1533-position model. The record is from RNAcentral.